RNAcentral lists this ribosomal RNA (433 nucleotides) under uncultured Sphingomonas sp. RNAcentral's name for it is "bacterial SSU rRNA". It matches the Rfam family "Bacterial small subunit ribosomal RNA", at positions 47 to 524 of the family's 1533-position model. The record is from RNAcentral. Lineage: Bacteria; Pseudomonadati; Pseudomonadota; Alphaproteobacteria; Sphingomonadales; Sphingomonadaceae.
GACAACACAUGCAAGUCGAACGAGAUCCUUCGGGGUCUAGUGGCGAACGGGUGCGUAACGCGUGGGAAUCUGCCCUUGGGUUCGGAAUAACAGUUGGAAACGACUGCUUAUACCGGAUGAUGACGAAAGUCCAAAGAUUUAUCGCCAGAGGAUGAGCCCGCGUAGGAUUAGCUAGUUGGUGGGGUAAAGGCCCACCAAGGCGACGAUCCUUAGCUGGUCUGAGAGGAUGAUCAGCCACACUGGGACUGAGACACGGCCCAGACUCCUACGGAAGGCAGCAGUGGGGAAUAUUGGACAAUGGGCGAAAGCCUGAUCCAGCAAUGCCGCGUGAGUGAUGAAGGCCUUAGGGUUGUAAAGCUCUUUUACCCGGGAUGAUAAUGACAGUACCGGGAGAAUAAGCCCCGGCUAACUCCGUGCCAGCAGCCGCGGUAAU